UGUUUUUUGAAUUUAAUAAGAAAUAUGACCUGCUCAAUGAUAUUUUAAAUAGCUGCAGUAUAUUGACUGUACAAAGGUAGCAUAAUCAAUUGUUUUUUUAUUGGAAACUUGUAUGAAUGGUUGGAUGUAAUAAAAACUUUUUAUAUAUUUAAUAAUAAAAUUUUAUUAUUAGUAAAAAAUCUAAUGUAAAAUUAAAAGACAAGAAGACCCUAUAGAUUUUAAUAAUUAAAAUUAUUUAUAAAUUUAAUUUAUUUACAUAUAAAAUUUAAUUAUUUAAUUGGGGUGAUUUUUAAAAUUAAUAAACUUUAAAAUUUAUUUACAUGAAUUAAUGAUUUUAUGAUCUUAAAUUUUGGAUUAAAAGAAUAAAAUACCUUAGGGAUAACAGCGUAAUUUUUUUAAAAAGAUCAUAUUGAUAAAAAAGAUUGC
This 426-nucleotide ribosomal RNA is filed under the name Anomalon sp. BIOUG11218-H10. RNAcentral's name for it is "partial 16S ribosomal RNA". The record is from RNAcentral. Lineage: Eukaryota; Metazoa; Arthropoda; Insecta; Hymenoptera; Ichneumonidae.